Molecule: ribosomal RNA, 476 nt
Filed under: uncultured organism
Description: partial 16S ribosomal RNA
Rfam family: Bacterial small subunit ribosomal RNA
Source: RNAcentral
ACGUACACUCCUACGGGAGGCAGCAGUGGGGAAUUUUGGACAAUGGGCGAAAGCCUGAUCCAGCCAUGCCGCGUGCAGGAUGAAGGCCUUCGGGUUGUAAACUGCUUUUGUACGGAACGAAACGGCCUUUUCUAAUAAAGAGGGCUAAUGACGGUAACGUAAGAAUAAGCACCGGCUAACUACGUGCCAGCAGCCGCGGUAAUACGUAGGGUGCAAGCGUUAAUCGGAAUUACUGGGCGUAAAGCGUGCGCAGGCGGUUAUGUAAGACAGUUGUGAAAUCCCCGGGCUCAACCUGGGAACUGCAUCUGUGACUGCAUAGCUAGAGUACGGUAGAGGGGGAUGGAAUUCCGCGUGUAGCAGUGAAAUGCGUAGAUAUGCGGAGGAACACCGAUGGCGAAGGCAAUCCCCUGGACCUGUACUGACGCUCAUGCACGAAAGCGUGGGGAGCAAACAGGAUUAGAUACCCUGGUAGUCCC